GAUGAACGCUGGCGGCGUGCCUAAUACAUGCAAGUCGAGCGAACAGACGAGGAGCUUGCUCCUCUGACGUUAGCGGCGGACGGGUGAGUAACACGUGGAUAACCUACCCAUAAUACUGGGAUAACUUCGGGAAACCGGAGCGAAUACCGGAUAAUAUAUUUAACCGCAUGGUUCAAUAGUGAAAGACGGUGUUUCUGUCACUGAUAGAUGGAUCCGCGCCGCAUUAGCUAGUUGGUAAGGUAACGGCUUACCAAGGCAACGAUGCGUAGCCGACCUGAGAGGGUGGUCGGCCACACUGGAACUGAGACACGGUCCAGACUCCUACGGGAGGCAGCAGUAGGGAAUCUUCCGCAAUGGGCGAAAGCCUGACGGAGCAACGCCGCGUGAGUGAUGAAGGUCUUCGGAUCGUAAAACUCUGUUAUUAGGGAAGAACAAAUGUGUAAGUAACUAUGCACGUCUUGACGGUACCUAAUCAGAAAGCCACGGCUAACUACGUG
RNAcentral lists this ribosomal RNA (497 nucleotides) under uncultured bacterium. RNAcentral describes it as "partial 16S ribosomal RNA". It matches the Rfam family "Bacterial small subunit ribosomal RNA", at positions 28 to 507 of the family's 1533-position model. The record is from RNAcentral.